This 301-nucleotide ribosomal RNA is filed under the name uncultured bacterium. RNAcentral describes it as "partial 16S ribosomal RNA". It matches the Rfam family "Bacterial small subunit ribosomal RNA", at positions 509 to 807 of the family's 1533-position model. The record is from RNAcentral.
CAGUCGCCGCGGUAAUACAGAGGGUGCGAGCGUUAAUCGGAUUUACUGGGCGUAAAGCGUGCGUAGGCGGCUAAUUGAGUCGGAUGUGAAAUCCCCGAGCUUAACUUGGGAAUUGCAUUCGAUACUGGUUAGCUAGAGUGUGGGAGAGGAUGGUAGAAUUCCAGGUGUAGCGGUGAAAUGCGUAGAGAUCUGGAGGAAUACCGAUGGCGAAGGCAGCCAUCUGGCCUAACACUGACGCUGAGGUACGAAAGCAUGGGGAGCAAACAGGAUUAGAGACCCCUGUAGUCCCUGUCUCUUAUAC